UCAGACGUUGAGAAGAAUCCAAAUUUAACAAUUUGUGUAACACUGUCAUAUUUCUCAUCAACAUCAAUUGAGCAUUGGAAUUACUUAGGAUGAGCUAAUAUCCUUUCAUUUUGAGCAAGUUGACCAACUCAACAUACGCUUGGUUAAGAUAAUUCUUUUUCAGAUUAAUUUAACAUAGAUUACGUUAUGUCCAGCAUAUCGGUGUGGUGCCAUUUGCGUUAUGAAACAACUUUAAUACAAACUACACAGGAUCAGUAUCAUGAAUGUAAAAUGCCAUGCAAUCGUGAAAAAGUUUCAGCAUAAAUAACUUCUACUAAAGAUUAAGAGGACUCAGUCUCCCCUUGGACUUCAAGACAUCGUUGCAGAAAAUUAUAAAGCGAUUCAGAAUAUAAAGCUUUUCAUCAUGAAUUUACCCAAGCUUCUCGCCAUAUUCGCUCUCGUCGCCAUGAUGUCGGUCGUCGUGAUGGGAGAAGGAGAAGACUACGAAACCGGGGGGACUGAGUACCAAGUGUGUCAAUUUACAAUUUUAAAAUUUGCUCUUACCGGCACGCUUUGCCUACCUGAAUGCGCAUCCAAUAUUGUGGUCCCAGGAGGGAACUGCGUCACAGGACUCAAGUGUUGCUUCUUGACAUAAAGUGGAAAUGUCGCACCCUCCUCACCACCAAUACACAAAAUAAAUACAAUUGGAAGUAAAUAAAAUGAUUGUGAAAACUGCUAUGUAGAAUCUUAACUUGAAUUAAAUAUUGCUGAGUGGUACAUAUGUAUGUACAUAUGAAGAAUGUAACGAGAGAAAUAAAAAAUGCAAUUACAUUUGGUAAAAUUUUA
Long non-coding RNA from Folsomia candida, 825 nucleotides. RefSeq lists it as uncharacterized. The transcript is spliced from 4 exons. The record is from RefSeq and is a predicted model, not a curated record. NCBI's taxonomy places the organism in Eukaryota, Metazoa, Arthropoda, Collembola, Entomobryomorpha, Isotomidae.